This 253-nucleotide ribosomal RNA is filed under the name uncultured bacterium. RNAcentral's name for it is "partial 16S ribosomal RNA". It matches the Rfam family "Bacterial small subunit ribosomal RNA", at positions 524 to 776 of the family's 1533-position model. The record is from RNAcentral.
GACGGAGGGUGCUAGCGUUGUUCGGAAUCACUGGGCGUAAAGGGCGCGUAGGCGGCCUCAGGUGUCGGAUGUGAAAGCCCGGGGCUCAACCCCGGAGGUGCAUCCGAAACUCUGGGGCUGGAGGUCGGAAGAGGAGGGUGGAAUACCCAGUGUAGAGGUGAAAUUCGUAGAUAUUGGGUGGAACACCGGUGGCGAAAGCGGCUCUCUGGUCCGGACCUGACGCUGAGGCGCGAAAGCGUGGGGGGCAAACAGG